RNAcentral lists this ribosomal RNA (468 nucleotides) under uncultured bacterium. RNAcentral's name for it is "partial 16S ribosomal RNA". It matches the Rfam family "Bacterial small subunit ribosomal RNA", at positions 28 to 507 of the family's 1533-position model. The record is from RNAcentral.
GACGAACGCUGGCGGCGUGCUUAACACAUGCAAGUCGAACGGAAAGGCCCUGCUUUUGUGGGGUGCUCGAGUGGCGAACGGGUGAGUAACACGUGAGUAACCUGCCCUUGACUUUGGGAUAACUUCAGGAAACUGGGGCUAAUACCGGAUAGGAGCUCCUGCUGCAUGGUGGGGGUUGGAAAGUUUCGGCGGUUGGGGAUGGACUCGCGGCUUAUCAGCUUGUUGGUGGGGUAGUGGCUUACCAAGGCUUUGACGGGUAGCCGGCCUGAGAGGGUGACCGACCACAUUGGGACUGAGAUACGGCCCAGACUCCUACGGGAGGCAGCAGUGGGGAAUAUUGCACAAUGGGCGGAAGCCUGAUGCAGCAACGCCGCGUGCGGGAUGACGGCCUUCGGGUUGUAAACCGCUUUCGCCUGUGACGAAGCGUGAGCGACGGUAAUGGGUAAAGAAGCACCGGCUAACUACGUG